CAGUAGCGUAUAUUAAAGUUGUUGCAGUUGAAACGCUCGUAGUCGGACUUCUUUUCCACCCUUGUGGAAAAUCUGCUGAUCAUCUUGCUGAUCAUCACGAUCGGUAAGUCAAUGACAGCAUGUCACCUUGAGGAAAUUAAAGUGUUCAAGGCAGGCUUAGCCUGAAUACUGUAGCAUGGAAUGGCACCAUUGUGCAAACAAGAGGUGCGGGUGCUCUUGUGAGGCAAAGGUCGAUAGGGGGCAGUCGUGGGCAUUGGUACUGGGGCGUGAGAGGUGAAAUUCUUGGAUCGUCUCAAGACCAACGAAAGCGAAAGCAUCUGCCAAGGAUGUCUUCAUUGAUCAAGAACGAAGGUCAGGGUAUCGAAUACGAUUAGAUACCAU
RNAcentral lists this ribosomal RNA (381 nucleotides) under uncultured eukaryote. Its description in RNAcentral is "bacterial SSU rRNA". It matches the Rfam family "Eukaryotic small subunit ribosomal RNA", at positions 592 to 1018 of the family's 1831-position model. The record is from RNAcentral.